AUGGCAGAGCCAAAACUGUUAGAGUCUGGGGCCUCUGCAGCCUCCACAGCUGCAGCUCUGGAGAACUUACAAGUGGAAGCAAGCUGCUCUGUGUGCCUCGAGUACCUGAAGGAGCCUGUCAUCAUUGAGUGUGGGCACAACUUCUGCAAAGCUUGCAUCACUCGCUGGUGGGAGGACUUGGAGAGGGACUUCCCAUGUCCUGUGUGUCGAAAGACGUCCUGCUACCCCAGUCUCCGGCCUAAUCGGCAAUUAGGCAGCAUGGUGGAAAUUGCUAAGCAGCUCCAAACUGUCAAGAGAAAGCUCCAGAAUGAGAACCUCUGCCCCCAGCACCAUGAGGCCCUCAACCUCUUCUGCUGUGAGGACCAGGAGCCUGUAUGUUUGAUAUGUGCAGUUUCCCAUGCCCAUGGGGCCCACAUCAUUGUGCCACUGGAUGAUGCCACACAGGAGUACAAGGAGAAGCUGCAGAAGUGCCUGGACCCCCUGGAGCAGAAGCUGCAGGAUAUCACCCGUUGCAAGUCGUCUGAGGAGAAAAAGCCAGGAGAACUCAAGAGACUGGUGGAGAGUCGCCGACAGCAGAUCUUAAAGGAGUUUGAGGAGCUUCACAGGCAGCUGGAUGAAGAACAGGAGAUGUUCCUUUCACGACUGGACGAGGAAGAGCAGGACAUUUUAGAGCAUCUCCAAGAAAAUGCUGCUCACAUCAGGGACAGGCAACAGAAUUUGGCCCACUUGCCUACCGAGGUAGAGGGCAAGUGCUUACAGUCAGACUUCGAGAUGCUUGAAAGGGUUCGACCUUUGCCCCUGUGAGCCACGUUGGAUGGAACAAAGUGUGAGAAAUUGAAGACCAUGGAGGUGACUUCUGUAACCAUACAGCUAAAGAGGAAACCAGUUUCCCUUGAAAAUAGUACCUUCCCCUGAGGAGGAUCCUUAACCAGCUAAUGGCUUCUCCCACGAAUGAAUGUGAUGCUUCUGAGACUGCUCAUCCUAACUUUGUCCUAUUGGAAGAUCGUAAGAUUCCUGAUUCUGAUCCACCAGCAUUCAGAUUUUCUCAGACCUGGGUCAUGAUGCAUGGAACCUUUUUCCUGCUGCUGUCAGGGGGCCUGGCCCUGAUACACGAUGGUGUGGAUUACACAUCCCUGAAUGAAGAUUUACGCUCCUGGAUGGCGUCGGACACAGUUGCUCAGAUUUCUAAGCAGAAUUUUGAGGCUACCCAGUAUGCAGCCAGGUUCAGAGUCUUUCUGGAGGGUGAGUGCUUGGACCGGCUCCGCAGGUACCUGGAGAACGGGAAGGAAACACUGCAGCGCUCAGAUGGGACCUUGGAGAACUUCCCUAGGACCUGCGAGGUCGAAAGAGAGCCGCGGCUGCAACCCGAGCAGAACAGCUUCGCCCGGCUCGGGCGCCCGGCGGGUGUCCUGCGGGCAGAGCUUCGGCACUCAGCAACGCGCAUGCGCGGCCCUUUUCCUAGCGAGACUUCCCCGAGUCACCUGGACGAUAGCUUAUCAGCCCCUCAUAGGGGCGCACGCGACCAGCCGCCGGCAACCCACUCGCCCUCGACCACAACCAGCCUACACACGCGCCGCGCGGCUUCCGCUUCCGGCGAGUAUUGUGUGUCGUGCUGCGGGGCGGAGGCGGGGGGAGGAGGAAGGAGGGAGGCAGCGCUCCGACGGCUCUGCGCUUCGCAGUCCCGGACUCAAAGCCGGGAAGGUAGGUUCUGCCCCGCCGCCGCGCCCGCGCCCUGUAGCCUGCCCCGGUCAGCCGGCUCCGCCAGCCUUGUCCCAGCGACCUGCGACUGCGUCACCGACCCCCCGCACGUAACUACCGCUGCCUCCGCCCGCCUUGGGCCCGGGCGGACGUUUUGCCGCCCCGGCGACGUCAGCGCGUCCGGCGUUGCUUGGCUACCCCGCGGUUCCCCUGUCCCGCUACCGCUCGCUUACCGGGGUGAAACUGACACUGCAUCAGAGUGGCAGGCAUCUCGCCUUAACGUCACACCUCCUCACCUGCACGCGCGUCCCUCCAGCCAGGACGUUCCCUCACCUCACUCCAAUCCCUUGCGCCAAAUCUGGGGGACGAUGAUGGAGACGGGGAUGAUGGCAGAGACAGGCCUGUUAGAGGCUGGGGCCUCUGCAGCCUCCACAGCUGCAGCUCUGGAGAACUUACAAGUGGAAGCAAGCUGCUCUGUGUGCCUCGAGUACCUGAAGGAGCCCGUCAUCAUUGAGUGUGGGCACAACUUCUGCAAAGCUUGCAUCACUCGCUGGUGGGAGGACUUGGAGAGGGACUUUCCUUGUCCUGUGUGUCGAAAGACGUCUUGCUAUCGUAGUCUCCGGCCUAAUCGGCAGUUAGGCAGCAUGGUGGAAAUUGCUAAGCAGCUCCAGGCUGUCAAGAGGAAGCUUCGGGAUGAGAGCCUCUGCCCUCAGCACCAUGAGGCCCUCAACCUCUUCUGUUAUGAGGACCAGGAACCUGUAUGUUUGAUAUGUGCAAUUUCCCACACUCACCGAGUCCACACUGUUGUGCCACUGGAUGAUGCCACACAGGAGUACAAGGAGAAGCUGCAGAAGUGCCUGGACCCCCUGGAGCAGAAGCUGCAGGAUAUCACCCGUUGCAAGUCAUCUGAGGAAAAAAAGCCUGCAGAGCUCAAGAGACUGGUAGAGAGUCGCCGACAGCAGAUCUUAAGGGAGUUUGAGGAGCUUCACAGGCGUCUGGAUGAAGAACAGCAGAUGUUGCUUUCACGACUGGAGGAAGAGGAGCAAGACAUUCUGCAGCAACUCCGGGAGAAUGCUGCUCACCUUGGGGACAAGCGCCGGGACCUGGCCCACUUGGCUGCUGAGGUGGAGGGCAAGUGCUUACAGUCAGGCUUCGAGAUGCUUAAGGAUGUCAAAAGUACCCUGGAAAAAUGUGAGAAAGUGAAGACCAUGGAGGUGACUUCUGUAUCCAUACAAUUGGAGAAGAACUUCAGCAAUUUCCCCCGACAGUAUUUUGCUCUCAGGAGGAUCCUUAAACAGCUAAUGGCGGACGUGACCCUGGAUCCUGAGACGGCCCAUCCUAACCUAGUUUUAUCAGAAGAUCGUAAAAGUGUCAAGUUCGUGGAGACAAGACUCCGGGAUCUCCCUGACACACCCCGACGUUUCACCUUCUACCCAUGUGUCCUGGCAACUGAAGGUUUCACCUCAGGUCGACACUAUUGGGAAGUGGAGGUGGGCGACAAGACUCACUGGGCAGUGGGUGUGUGCCAGGACUCCGUGAGCCGAAAGGGUGAACUGACACCACUCCCUGAGACUGGCUACUGGCGCGUGCGGCUAUGGAAUGGGGACAAAUAUGCAGCCACCACCACCCCCUUUACCCCUUUGCACAUCAAAGUGAAACCCAAGAGAGUGGGCAUAUUCCUAGACUAUGAAGCUGGCACGCUGUCUUUUUACAAUGUCACAGAUCGCUCUCACAUCUACACCUUCACUGACACGUUUACUGAGAAACUCUGGCCCCUCUUCUAUCCAGGCAUCCGUGCUGGUCGGAAGAAUGCUGCACCGCUUACUAUUAGGCCCCCAACAGAUUGGGAAUGA
RNA transcript from Elephantulus edwardii (Cape elephant shrew), 3551 nucleotides. RefSeq lists it as uncharacterized. The transcript has 15 exons. The record is from RefSeq and is a predicted model, not a curated record. NCBI's taxonomy places the organism in Eukaryota, Metazoa, Chordata, Mammalia, Macroscelidea, Macroscelididae.